UAGUCCACGCCGUAAACGAUGUCAACUAGCCAUUGGGGGGCUUGACCCUUUAGUGGCGCAGCUAACGCAAUAAGUUGACCGCCUGGGGAGUACGGCCGCAAGGUUAAAACUCAAAUGAAUUGACGGGGGCCCGCACAAGCGGUGGAGCAUGUGGUUUAAUUCGAUGCAACGCGAAGAACCUUACCAGGUCUUGACAUCCUGAAAACUUUCUAGAGAUAACUUGGUGCCUUCGGGAACUGAGUGACAGGUGCUGCAUGGCUGUCGUCAGCUCGUGUCGUGAGAUGUUGGGUUAAGUCCCGCAACGAGCGCAACCCUUGUCCCUAGUUGCCAGCACAUAAUGGUGGGAACUCUAGGGAGACUGCCGGUGACAAACCGGAGGAAGGUGAGGAUGACGUCAAGUCAGCAUGCCCCUUACGCUCUGGGCUACACACGUGCUACAAUGGUCGUGACAAAGAGUUGCUAGUCUGCGAAGGCAAGCCAAUCUCAUAAACGCGGCCUUAGUCGG
RNAcentral lists this ribosomal RNA (505 nucleotides) under uncultured bacterium. RNAcentral's name for it is "bacterial SSU rRNA". It matches the Rfam family "Bacterial small subunit ribosomal RNA", at positions 791 to 1295 of the family's 1533-position model. The record is from RNAcentral.